RNAcentral lists this ribosomal RNA (253 nucleotides) under uncultured bacterium. RNAcentral's name for it is "partial 16S ribosomal RNA". It matches the Rfam family "Bacterial small subunit ribosomal RNA", at positions 524 to 776 of the family's 1533-position model. The record is from RNAcentral.
UACGGAGGGUGCGAGCGUUGUCCGGAAUCACUGGGCGUAAAGGGCGCGUAGGCGGCAGGUCACGCGUGUGGUGAAAGCCCGGGGCUCAACCCCGGGUCGGCCAUGCGGACUGGCGUGCUUGAGCACUGUAGGGGCGGGUGGAAUUCCGGGUGUAGCGGUGGAAUGCGUAGAGAUCCGGAAGAACACCAGAGGCGAAGGCGGCCUACUGGGCCAGUACUGACGCUGAGCCGCGAAAGCUAGGGGAGCGAACGGG